This 465-nucleotide ribosomal RNA is filed under the name Rossellomorea oryzaecorticis. RNAcentral's name for it is "bacterial SSU rRNA". It matches the Rfam family "Bacterial small subunit ribosomal RNA", at positions 966 to 1430 of the family's 1533-position model. The record is from RNAcentral. Lineage: Bacteria; Bacillati; Bacillota; Bacilli; Caryophanales; Bacillaceae.
GAACCUUACCAGGUCUUGACAUCUCUGACAACCCUAGAGAUAGGGCUUUUCCCCUUCGGGGGACAGAGUGACAGGUGGUGCAUGGUUGUCGUCAGCUGGUGUCGUGAGAUGUUGGGUUAAGUCCCGCAACGAGCGCAACCCUUGAUCUUAGUUGCCAGCAUUCAGUUGGGCACUCUAAGAUGACUGCCGGUGACAAACCGGAGGAAGGUGGGGAUGACGUCAAAUCAUCAUGCCCCUUAUGACCUGGGCUACACACGUGCUACAAUGGACGGUACAAAGGGCAGCAAGACCGCGAGGUUUAGCCAAUCCCAGAAAACCGUUCUCAGUUCGGAUUGUAGGCUGCAACUCGCCUACAUGAAGCUGGAAUCGCUAGUAAUCGCGGAUCAGCAUGCCGCGGUGAAUACGUUCCCGGGCCUUGUACACACCGCCCGUCACACCACGAGAGUUUGUAACACCCGAAGUGCG